UAUAAGCUAUUAAGGGCUAAUGGUGGAUGCCUUGACUGUAAGAGGCGAUGAAGGACGUAUUAGGCUGCGAUAAGCCUCGGGGAGCUGCCAAAGAGCUUUGAUCCGAGGAUUUCCGAAUGGGGCAACCCAGCAUAUAGAGAUAUAUGUUACCCUACGGGGAGCGAACCUGGUGAAGUGAAACAUCUCAGUAGCCAGAGGAAGAGAAAUCAAAUGAGAUUCCCAUAGUAGCGGCGAGCGAACUGGGAUUAGGACAAACCCAAUGCUUGCAUUGGGGGUUGUAGGACUAUAAUGUGUAAUUAAAGAGAAUAGAUGAAUUAGUUGGAAAACUAGAGCAUAGAAGGUGAUACUCCUGUAAUUAAAAUUCUCAAUAAUACUAAUAGUAUCCUGAGUAGGUCGGAACACGUGAUAUUUUGACUGAAGCUGGGGGGACCACCCUCCAAUCCUAAAUACUACUUACAGAUCGAUAGUGAACAAGUACCGUGAGGGAAAGGUGAAAAGUACUGCAGCGAGCAGAGUGAAAUAGAACCUGAAACCAUUAGCUUACAAUCAUUCAGAGCCCUAUGAUUUAUCAGGGUGAUGGACUGCCUUUUGCAUAAUGAGCCUGCGAGUUGUGGUGUCUGGCAAGGUUAAGCCAAGUGCGAAGCCGUAGCGAAAGCGAGUCUUAAUAGGGCGACAUAGUCAGAUGCUGCAGACCCGAAACGAAGUGAUCUAUCCAUGAGCAGGUUGAAGCUGGUGUAAGAGCCAGUGGAGGACCGAACCCGCUGACGUUGAAAAGUCUUGGGAUGACUUGUGGAUAGGGGUGAAAGGCCAAUCAAACUUCGUGAUAGCUGGUUCUCUCCGAAAUAUAUUUAGGUAUAGCCUUGUGUUGUAGCAUAUAGGGGUAGAGCACUGAAUGGGCUAGGGCUGCUUACCGCGGUACCAAACCCUAUCAAACUAUGAAUACUAUAUGUGGAAUCACAGGAGUCAGGCGGUGGGUGAUAAAAUCCGUCGUCAAGAGGGGAACAACCCAGACUAACAGCUAAGGUCCCUAAGUUACAUCUAAGUGGAAAACGAUGUGGAGUUACUGUGACAACCAGGAGGUUGGCUUAGAAGCAGCCAUCCUUUAAAGAAAGCGUAACAGCUCACUGGUCUAGUGAUUCUGCGCGGAAAAUAUAACGGGGCUAAGAUGUACACCGAAGCUUUAGAUUCAAUUUUUAAUUGAGUGGUAGGAGAGCGUUCUAUUCAGCGUUGAAGGUAUACCGGUAAGGAGUGCUGGAGCGGAUAGAAGUGAGCAUGCAGGCAUGAGUAGCGAUAAUUAAGGUGAGAAUCCUUAACGCCGAAAACCCAAGGUUUCCUACGCGAUGCUCGUCAUCGUAGGGUUAGUCGGGUCCUAAGUCGAGACUGAAAAGUGUAGACGAUGGCAAAUUGGUUAAUAUUCCAAUACCAACAUAUAAGCGCGAUGUGGGGACGCAUAGAGUUAGUCGAGCUCACUGAUGGAAUAGUGGGUCGAAGGAUGUAGGUUGUUAAGUAGGCAAAUCCGCUUAACGUUAGACCGAGAUCUUACAGGCUCUUGACACUCUUCGGAGGAGAUGGAGAAUCGAUGAUACUGUCGUGCCAAGAAAAGCCACUAAGUUUAUUAUAUGUUGCCCGUACCGUAAACCGACACAGGUGGGUGGGAUGAGUAUUCUAAGGCGCGUGGAAGAACCCUCUUUAAGGAACUCUGCAAAAUAGCACCGUAUCUUCGGUAUAAGGUGUGCCUACUUUGGUAUAUGAACUUGCUUCAAAAAGCUAGAGAGGUUGCAACAAAGAGUCCCUCCCGACUGUUUACCAAAAACACAGCACUUUGCUAACACGUAAGUGGAUGUAUAAGGUGUGACGCCUGCCCGGUGCUCGAAGGUUAAUUGAUGAUGUCAGCGCAAGCGAAGCAUUUGAUCGAAGCCCGAGUAAACGGCGGCCGUAACUAUAACGGUCCUAAGGUAGCGAAAUUCCUUGUCAGUUAAAUACUGACCUGCAUGAAUGGCGUAACGAGAUGGGAGCUGUCUCAAAGAGGAUCCAGUGAAAUUGUAGUGGAGGUGAAAAUUCCUCCUACCCGCGGAAAGACGGAAAGACCCCGUGCACCUUUACUACAGCUUGACACUGUAGCUUGGAUAUUCAUGUGCAGGAUAGGUGGGAGGCUAUGAUGACUAGACGCAAGUAGAGUCGGAGCCAUCCUUGAGAUACCACCCUUGAAUAUUUGAGUUACUAACUGCGAUGAGUUAUCCUCAUUCAGGACAAUGUCUGGUGGGUAGUUUGACUGGGGCGGUCGCCUCCUAAAUAGUAACGGAGGCUUACAAAGGUUAGUUCAAAGCGGAUGGAAAUCGCUUGUUGAGUAUAAUGGCAUAAACUAGCUUGACUGUGAGACCUACAAGUCGAACAGAGACGAAAGUCGGUCAUAGUGAUCCGGUGGUUCUGCGUGGAAGGGCCAUCGCUCAAAGGAUAAAAGGUACGCCGGGGAUAACAGGCUGAUCUCCCCCAAGAGCUCACAUCGACGGGGAGGUUUGGCACCUCGAUGUCGGCUCAUCGCAUCCUGGGGCUGUAGUCGGUCCCAAGGGUAUGGCUGUUCGCCAUUUAAAGCGGUACGCGAGCUGGGUUCAGAACGUCGUGAGACAGUUCGGUCCCUAUCUUCCGUGGGCGUAGGAAAGUUGAAGAGAUUUGUCCCUAGUACGAGAGGACCGGGAUGAACCAACCACUGGUGUACCAAUUGUUCUGCCAAGAGCAUCGUUGGGUAGCCACGUUGGGAUGUGAUAAGAGCUGAAAGCAUCUAAGCUCGAAGCCAACUCUAAGAUGAACUUUCCCUGAAGUUCCCAGCAAGACUAGCUGGUUGAUAGGCUGGGUGUGUAAUGGGUGUAAGCCCUUUAGCUGACCAGUACUAAUAGAACGUUUGGCUUAUUUUUAACAAUUUUCUUUGGUUUACU
Molecule: ribosomal RNA, 2933 nt
Filed under: Aliarcobacter cryaerophilus
Lineage: Bacteria; Pseudomonadati; Campylobacterota; Epsilonproteobacteria; Campylobacterales; Arcobacteraceae
Description: Arcobacter cryaerophilus 23S ribosomal RNA
Rfam family: Bacterial large subunit ribosomal RNA
Source: RNAcentral